Molecule: ribosomal RNA, 429 nt
Filed under: Gemmatimonadota bacterium
Lineage: Bacteria; Pseudomonadati; Gemmatimonadota
Description: Gemmatimonadetes bacterium partial 16S ribosomal RNA
Rfam family: Bacterial small subunit ribosomal RNA
Source: RNAcentral
UAGGGAAUCUUCGGCAAUGGACGAAAGCCUGACCGAGCAACGCCGCGUGAGUGAAGAAGGUUUUCGGAUCGUAAAACUCUGUUGUUAGAGAAGAACAAGGACGUUAGUAACUGAACGUCCCCUGACGGUAUCUAACCAGAAAGCCACGGCUAACUACGUGCCAGCAGCCGCGGUAAUACGUAGGUGGCAAGCGUUGUCCGGAUUUAUUGGGCGUAAAGCGAGCGCAGGCGGUUUCUUAAGUCUGAUGUGAAAGCCCCCGGCUCAACCGGGGAGGGUCAUUGGAAACUGGGAGGCUUGAGUGCAGAAGAGGGGAGUGGAAUUCCAUGUGUAGCGGUGAAAUGCGUAGAUAUAUGGAGGAACACCAGUGGCGAAGGCGGCUCUCUGGUCUGUAACUGACGCUGAGGCUCGAAAGCGUGGGGAGCAAACAGG